Molecule: non-coding RNA, 280 nt
Organism: Paramuricea clavata
Lineage: Eukaryota; Metazoa; Cnidaria; Anthozoa; Malacalcyonacea; Plexauridae
Source: the annotation of a GenBank genome assembly
AAAGUUAUACUGUAGUUACGUACCAAAUGUUAUCCUUUCUCGAGGAAAUUCCCAUUCCGGUAUAAACGGUAGCUUGUGAACUUGUUCUUGAAUACCUUUAUUAGCAUCCAACAUCGCAAUGUAGUCCGGUAAAGGAGGAAAUGAGAAAAGAUAAAAGCCACCAUAGAGUUUCUUUCUUUUGUACAUCACAAAACUUGAUGCGAUUAACAUGAUCAUGGUUAUCAACCCAAUCGCAGCGGCGACAAAAAUAAAGGUACGCUUCUGCUGAGAUUUAGGAUCA